UGGGGAAUAUUGGACAAUGGGCGCAAGCCUGAUCCAGCCAUGCCGCGUGAGUGAUGAAGGCCCUAGGGUUGUAAAGCUCUUUCACCGGUGAAGAUAAUGACGGUAACCGGAGAAGAAGCCCCGGCUAACUUCGUGCCAGCAGCCGCGGUAAUACGAAGGGGGCUAGCGUUGUUCGGAUUUACUGGGCGUAAAGCGCACGUAGGCGGACUUUUAAGUCAGGGGUGAAAUCCCGGGGCUCAACCCCGGAACUGCCUUUGAUACUGGAAGUCUUGAGUAUGGUAGAGGUGAGUGGAAUUCCGAGUGUAGAGGUGAAAUUCGUAGAUAUUCGGAGGAACACCAGUGGCGAAGGCGGCGCACUGGACCAUUACUGACGCUGAGGUGCGAAAGCGUGGGGGGCAAACAGG
RNAcentral lists this ribosomal RNA (404 nucleotides) under Actinomycetes bacterium. RNAcentral describes it as "Actinobacteria bacterium partial 16S ribosomal RNA". It matches the Rfam family "Bacterial small subunit ribosomal RNA", at positions 355 to 776 of the family's 1533-position model. Lineage: Bacteria; Bacillati; Actinomycetota; Actinomycetes. The record is from RNAcentral.